AAAGGAAUAGACGGGGGCCCGCACAAGCAGUGGAGUAUGUGGUUUAAUUCGAAGCAACGCGAAGAACCUUACCAGGGCUUGACAUCUACCGAAUCCCAAGAGAUUGGGAGUGCCUUCGGGAACGGUAAGACAGGUGGUGCAUGGUUGUCGUCAGCUCGUGUCGUGAGAUGUUGGGUUAAGUCCCGCAACGAGCGCAACCCUUAUUGUUAGUUGCCAUCAUUCAGUUGGGCACUCUAACAAGACUGCCGGUGACAAAUCGGAGGAAGGUGGGGACGACGUCAAAUCAUCAUGCCCCUUAUGUCCUGGGCUACACACGUACUACAAUGGCCGUUAACAAUGGGAAGCGAAAUCGCGAGGUGGAGCAAAUCCCCAAAAACGGUCCCAGUUCGGAUUGCAGGCUGAAACCCGCCUGCAUGAAGUUGGAAUUGCUAGUAAUCGCAAAUCAGCAUGUUGCGGUGAAUACGUUCCCGGGCCUUGUACACACCGCCCGU
RNAcentral lists this ribosomal RNA (491 nucleotides) under uncultured bacterium. RNAcentral describes it as "bacterial SSU rRNA". It matches the Rfam family "Bacterial small subunit ribosomal RNA", at positions 903 to 1397 of the family's 1533-position model. The record is from RNAcentral.